Molecule: ribosomal RNA, 254 nt
Filed under: uncultured bacterium
Lineage: Bacteria
Description: partial 16S ribosomal RNA
Rfam family: Bacterial small subunit ribosomal RNA
Source: RNAcentral
UACAUGGGGUGCAAACGUUGCUCGGAAUUAUUGGGCGUAAAGAGCUCGUAGGCGGCUCAGUAAGUCAGGUGUGAAAACUCCAGGCUCAACCUGGAGACGCCACUUGAUACUGCUGUGGCUAGAGUCCGGUAGGGGAGCAUGGAAUUCCUGGUGUAGCGGUGAAAUGCGCAGAUAUCAGGAGGAACACCAGUGGCGAAGGCGGUGCUCUGGGCCGGAACUGACGCUGAGGAGCGAAAGCGUGGGGAGCAAACAGG